GGCGACCGGCGGAUGGGUGAGUAACGCGUAUCCAACCUGCCCCCGGCCCGGGCACAGCCCAUGGAAACGUGGAUUAAAGCCCGAUGCGCCUAAGAGCCGCAUGGCUUUUAGGUGAAACAGGCAGGGGAUGGGGAUGCGUCCCAUUAGGCAGCAGGCGGGGUAACGGCCCACCUGGCCGACGAUGGGUAGGGGUUCUGAGAGGAAGGUCCCCCACAUUGGGACUGAGACACGGCCCAAACUCCUACGGGAGGCAGCAGUGAGGAAUAUUGGUCAAUGGACGUGAGCCUGAACCAGCCAAGUAGCGUGGAGGAAGGAUGCCCUACGGGUUGUAAACUCCUUUAGUGCGGGAAUAACGUGCGCCACGUGUGGUGCAGUGCAGGUACCGCAAGAAUAAGGGCCGGCUAAUUCCGUGCCAGCAGCCGCGGUAAUACGGAAGGCCCGAGCGUUAUCCGGAUUUAUUGGGUUUAAAGGGAGCGCAGGCGGGAGCGUAAGUCAGCUGUUAAAAUGCGGCGCCCAACGCCGUAGUGCAGUUGAAACUGCGUUUCUUGAGUCCGCAAGAGGCAGGCGGAAUUUGUGGUGUAGCGGUGAAAUGCAUAGAUAUCACGAAGGACUCCGAUUGCGAAGGCAGCUUGCCGGGGCGCGACUGACGCUCAUGCUCGAAGGUGCGGGUAUCAAACAGGAUUAGAUACCCUGGUAGUCCGCACAGUAAACGAUGGAUGCCCGCGGUGCGGCCGUUAGGUUACGCCGCCAAGCGAAAGCGUUAAGCAUCCCACCUGGGGAGUACGCCGGCAACGGUGAAACUCAAAGGAAUUGACGGGGGCCCGCACAAGCGGAGGAACAUGUGGUUUAAUUCGAUGAUACGCGAGGAACCUUACCCGGGCUUGAAAUGCCCGCGCAGGCGGCUGGAGACGGCUGCCGUCCCUUCGUUGGGCUGCGGGUGUAGGUGCUGCAUGGUUGUCGUCAGCUCGUGCCGUGAGGUGUCGGCUCAAGUGCCAUAACGAGCGCAACCCCUCUCUCCAGUUGCCAUCGGGCAAUGCCGGGAACUCUGGAGACACUGCCAUCGCAAGAUGUGAGGAAGGCGGGGACGACGUCAAAUCAGCACGGCCCUUACGUCCGGGGCUACACACGUGUUACAAUGGGGGGCACAGCGAGUUGGGCGCCGGCGACGGUGUCCGGAUCAAGAAAUCCCCUCCCAGUUCGGACUGGAGCCUGCAACCCGGCUCCACGCAGCUGGAUUCGCUAGUAAUCGCGCAUCAGCCAUGGCGCGGUGAAUACGUUCCCGGGCCUUGUACACACCGCCCGUCAAGCCAUGAAAGUCGGGGGCGCC
This 1327-nucleotide ribosomal RNA is filed under the name uncultured bacterium. Its description in RNAcentral is "16S ribosomal RNA". It matches the Rfam family "Bacterial small subunit ribosomal RNA", at positions 90 to 1421 of the family's 1533-position model. The record is from RNAcentral.